GAUGAACGCUGGCGGCGUGCCUAAUACAUGCAAGUCGAACGAGGUGCUUUUGUAGCAAUACGAGAGUAUCCUAGUGGCGAACGGGUGAGUAACGCGUUGGUGACCUACCCCAAAGUGUGGGAUAACAGUCCGAAAGGAUUGCUAAUACCGCAUGUGGUCUUCGGGUUUAGAAACUGAUGACUAAAGGAGCAAUUCGCUUUGGGAGGGACCUGCGUCCCAUCAGCUAGUUGGUGAGGUAAUGGCUCACCAAGGCUACGACGGGUAGGGGACCUGAGAGGGUGACCCCCCACAAUGGAACUGAAACACGGUCCAUACACCUACGGGUGGCAGCAGUAGGGAAUAUUGCACAAUGGGCGAAAGCCUGAUGCAGCAACGCCGCGUGUGCGAUGAAGGCCUUCGGGUCGUAAAGCACUUUUCUGGGAGAUGAGCAAGGACAGUAUCUCAGGAAUAAGUCUCGGCUAACUACGUGCCAGCAGCCGCGGUAAU
RNAcentral lists this ribosomal RNA (486 nucleotides) under uncultured bacterium. Its description in RNAcentral is "bacterial SSU rRNA". It matches the Rfam family "Bacterial small subunit ribosomal RNA", at positions 28 to 524 of the family's 1533-position model. The record is from RNAcentral.